This 604-nucleotide long non-coding RNA is filed under the name Nicotiana benthamiana. RNAcentral describes it as "long non-coding RNA (NBEN_LNC035523)". The record is from RNAcentral. Lineage: Eukaryota; Viridiplantae; Streptophyta; Magnoliopsida; Solanales; Solanaceae.
UUUUUAAUUUUUAUUCAUAAAACUUCUAUUACAAAAGAUGUUAACUACUCGUUUUCUUGGAAAUAAAACUACACACUCAAUAUAAAGCAAAAAUACAAACUCAAUGAUUAAAAAAUUAGGAAUACAUUAAAGCUUCAACUACUGGAGCCCGUGGGGCAUCAUUCGGCCUCGCCGUGAGCAUAUCUGCGAGACCCCCUUGUAGUUUCUCCAAAUCACUCAUAACUUGACGGACAAAUGUCAUCACCGCGGCAAAGAAGGUUGUACGUGUCAUGUCCUUGCACGCUUGGCACUUCAUGGUAAUGUAGUCAGCGAUGGUUCUGAUCCUUUCUCUAAUUCUGCCUUUUUCUUGAAGUAAUCGCCCUAUCUGCUAGUUCCGAGCUUCUAACACUUGAGAGUCAUGAAAGUGUUGAUUCUGCAAUUGCUGUAUUUCUUCCUCCAUUUUAGUCAUUAGAUUAUAACAGUUCUCUCUAUCAUCUUUGAAAUCUUUAGCUCGUUUGGUUGCCUCAUCCUCAAGAGUAGUUACCUUUCUUCUUAGGCUAGUAAUGGUCCCUUCGUAGUUCCUCUUCAUUUGUUGCACAAAUCAUGCCCAUUAUUUUGCUUCCUU